This 94-nucleotide small nuclear RNA is filed under the name Catagonus wagneri (Chacoan peccary). Lineage: Eukaryota; Metazoa; Chordata; Mammalia; Artiodactyla; Tayassuidae. The record is from RNAcentral.
GUGCUCACUUCAGCAGCACAUAUACUAAAACUGGAAUGAUACAGAGAGGAUUAGCAUGGCCCCUGCACAAAUUCAUGAAGCGUUACAUAUUUUU